This is a non-coding RNA of Bos taurus (domestic cattle), 72 nucleotides long. NCBI's taxonomy places the organism in Eukaryota, Metazoa, Chordata, Mammalia, Artiodactyla, Bovidae. The record is from Rfam.
UCCCUGGUAGUCCAGUGGUUAAAACGCUGUGCUCUCAAUGCAGGAACCUGAGUUCAAUCCCUGGUCAGGGAA